GAUGAACGCUGGCGGCGUGCCUAAUACAUGCAAGUCGAGCGAAUGGAUUAAGAGCUUGCUCUUAUGAAGUUAGCGGCGGACGGGUGAGUAACACGUGGGUAACCUGCCCAUAAGACUGGGAUAACUCCGGGAAACCGGGGCUAAUACCGGAUAACAUCUUGAACCGCAUGGUUCGAAAUUGAAAGGCGGCUUCGGCUGUCACUUAUGGAUGGACCCGGGUCGCAUUAGCUAGUUGGUGAGGUAACGGCUCACCAAGGCAACGGUGCGUAGCCGAACUGAGAGGGUGAUCGGCCACACUGGGACUGAGACACGGCCCAGACUCCUACGGGAGGCAGCAGGAGGGAAUCUUCCGCAAAGGACGAAAGUCUGACGGAGCAACGCCGCGUGAGUGAUGAAGGCUUUCGGGUCGUAAAACUCUGUUGUUAGGGAAGAACAAGUGCUAGUUGAAUAAGCUGGCACCUUGACGGUACCUAACCAGAAAGCCACGGCUAACUACGUGCCAGCCGCCGCGGUAA
RNAcentral lists this ribosomal RNA (515 nucleotides) under uncultured bacterium. RNAcentral's name for it is "partial 16S ribosomal RNA". It matches the Rfam family "Bacterial small subunit ribosomal RNA", at positions 28 to 523 of the family's 1533-position model. The record is from RNAcentral.